Non-coding RNA from Xenopus laevis (African clawed frog), 74 nucleotides. NCBI's taxonomy places the organism in Eukaryota, Metazoa, Chordata, Amphibia, Anura, Pipidae. The record is from Rfam.
GGCGCUGUGGCUUAGUUGGUUAAAGCGCCUGUCUAGUAAGCCGGAGAUCCUUAGUUCGAAUCUUAGCAGUGCCU